This 1332-nucleotide ribosomal RNA is filed under the name uncultured bacterium. Its description in RNAcentral is "bacterial SSU rRNA". It matches the Rfam family "Bacterial small subunit ribosomal RNA", at positions 28 to 1381 of the family's 1533-position model. The record is from RNAcentral.
GACGAACGCUGGCGGCGCGCCUAACACAUGCAAGUCGAACGAGCGAGAGAGAGCUUGCUUUCUCGAGCGAGUGGCGAACGGGUGAGUAACGCGUGAGGAACCUGCCUCAAAGAGGGGGACAACAGUUGGAAACGACUGCUAAUACCGCAUAAGCCCACGGCUCGGCAUCGAGCAGAGGGAAAAGGAGCAAUCCGCUUUGAGAUGGCCUCGCGUCCGAUUAGCUAGUUGGUGAGGUAACGGCCCACCAAGGCAACGAUCGGUAGCCGGACUGAGAGGUUGAACGGCCACAUUGGGACUGAGACACGGCCCAGACUCCUACGGGAGGCAGCAGUGGGGAAUAUUGCACAAUGGGGGAAACCCUGAUGCAGCGACGCCGCGUGGAGGAAGGAGGUCUUCGGAUUGUAAACUCCUGUUGUUGGGGAAGAUAAUGACGGUACCCAACAAGGAAGUGACGGCUAACUACGUGCCAGCAGCCGCGGUAAAACGUAGGUCACAAGCGUUGUCCGGAAUUACUGGGUGUAAAGGGAGCGCAGGCGGGAAGACAAGUUGGAAGUGAAAUCUAUGGGCUCAACCCAUAAACUGCUUUCAAAACUGUUUUUCUUGAGUAGUGCAGAGGUAGGCGGAAUUCCCGGUGUAGCGGUGGAAUGCGUAGAUAUCGGGAGGAACACCAGUGGCGGAGGCGGCCUACUGGGCACCAACUGACGCUGAGGCUCGAAAGUGUGGGUAGCAAACAGGAUUAGAUACCCUGGUAGUCCACACCGUAAACGAUGAUUACUAGGUGUUGGAGGAUUGACCCCUUCAGUGCCGCAGUUAACACAAUAAGUAAUCCACCUGGGGAGUACGACCGCAAGGUUGAAACUCAAAGGAAUUGACGGGGGCCCGCACAAGCAGUGGAGUAUGUGGUUUAAUUCGACGCAACGCGAAGAACCUUACCAAGUCUUGACAUCCCUUGACAGGCAUAGAAAUAUGUUUUCUCUUCGGAGCAAGGAGACAGGUGGUGCAUGGUUGUCGUCAGCUCGUGUCGUGAGAUGUUGGGUUAAGUCCCGCAACGAGCGCAACCCUUAUGGUCAGUUACUACGCAAGAGGACUCUGGCCAGACUGCCGUUGACAAAACGGAGGAAGGUGGGGAUGACGUCAAAUCAUCAUGCCCUUUAUGACUUGGGCUACACACGUACUACAAUGGCGUUAAACAAAGAGAAGCAAGACCGCGAGGUGGAGCAAAACUCAGAAACAACGUCCCAGUUCGGACUGCAGGCUGCAACUCGCCUGCACGAAGUCGGAAUUGCUAGUAAUCGUGGAUCAGCAUGCCACGGUGAAUACGUUCCCGGGCCU